GGUUGUAGCUCAGAGGUAGAGUACUUGACUAGCAUGCAUGAGGAUCUGGGUUCCAUCCCCAGUAUCACCA
Molecule: non-coding RNA, 70 nt
Organism: Ictidomys tridecemlineatus (thirteen-lined ground squirrel)
Lineage: Eukaryota; Metazoa; Chordata; Mammalia; Rodentia; Sciuridae
Source: Rfam